RNAcentral lists this ribosomal RNA (371 nucleotides) under Tulasnella calospora. Its description in RNAcentral is "LSU rRNA". The stretch from base 63 to 371 matches the Rfam family "Bacterial large subunit ribosomal RNA", at positions 1697 to 2021 of the family's 2925-position model. Lineage: Eukaryota; Fungi; Basidiomycota; Agaricomycetes; Cantharellales; Tulasnellaceae. The record is from RNAcentral.
GACAUUAGUUAAGUUUAUAUAAGGAAGUGUAAACCGCCCCUUUAGUUUUAAGGUAACUUAUUACUUUAGGCUAGGUUGCUUUGUGUAUUACUAUUUUGUAAUCCAAGGCCUUAAUAGCAUUUAAGUGGUGGCACAGAAUCGGAGGCCCCGACUGUUUACUUAAAACACAGCUUUCUGCGACGAAUAAUAUCUUUGUAUAGAAAGCGAAUUUUGCCCAAUGCCAUUAAUAUAAGGUCGAUAAGCGCUUAGCGUANUUAUUGGCUGAAGUUCUGGUCAAUGGCGGUCUUAUCUAUGAGGAUCCUAAGGUAGCAAAAUUAAUUGUCCAUUAAAUGUGGUCCUGACUGAAUAAAGUAACGAUGGUCUCGCUGUCU